Molecule: ribosomal RNA, 236 nt
Filed under: Metschnikowia krissii
Lineage: Eukaryota; Fungi; Ascomycota; Pichiomycetes; Serinales; Metschnikowiaceae
Description: partial 26S rRNA
Rfam family: Eukaryotic large subunit ribosomal RNA
Source: RNAcentral
AAUAUUCCAGAACUUGGAUAUGGAGUUUCACGGUAACGUAACUGAAUGUGGAGACGUCGGCGUGGGCCCUGGAAGAAGUUUUNNNUUUCUUCUAACAGCUUAUGACCCUGGAUGGAUUAACCAGAGAUGGGGUNUUAUGGCUGGAAGAGCAACUCUUUAAGUUGGUUGUCCCGGUGCGCCUACGACGGUCCUUGAAAAUCCACAGGAAGGAAUUUACUUUCAUGCCAAGUCGUACU